AGAAUAGGGGGUAAAACAUAAGAUGAAAAUUCAUGAGCUUCAUUCCAAUGGCUAAAACAUCUGUCAUAUUAUUCAUCAAAGGCCAACAGAUAUAUAUGCCAACAGAAAAGUGCAGAUAUAUCCAAUGAUCCAAUGCUUACUGUAUGACAAAUAAGCUCACAGUUCACCAAUUUGUUUGAUAUUCAACAGUAUA
Molecule: long non-coding RNA, 193 nt
Organism: Telopea speciosissima
Lineage: Eukaryota; Viridiplantae; Streptophyta; Magnoliopsida; Proteales; Proteaceae
Exons: 3
Source: RefSeq, a predicted model, not a curated record